Molecule: long non-coding RNA, 489 nt
Filed under: Pongo abelii (Sumatran orangutan)
Lineage: Eukaryota; Metazoa; Chordata; Mammalia; Primates; Hominidae
Description: lincRNA
Source: RNAcentral
AGUGCGCACGCGCACUUGUGUAAAAAGCGAGGACGUGAGCGUUCUGGAAGCUUUGCUCUUUUCACUGUUAGUGAGGAGCGGUCAAGGAUGCGUAUUAAGAAAAUAACUAGAAGUGGCCGCAUGAUGUACCUCUCACCAAUGAGAUGCCUGUCAAGGGUAUACGUGGGUCUUUUGAGAUCUUAUUCACUGAUUUGAAGAGUUCACGCAUCGAGCCAGUAGGCGGUGCACAUGGGUAAAAACUGGCUGUGGCUAAACAGUUACUCUUAGAAGAAAGCAAGCAUUGAGAGUAAGGAACAAAUGCCAAUGAUGACAACCCAAACACUAUGUAUUGUAAAUGAAGUUGACUUAUUGGUUUCUUUAUCCACCAAUAAAUUAAAAGGAAACUUACAGGAAAUGGACACAGCCCCGGAUAAAUGCGACUUACUAAGAUUCAACCAAGAAGUAAAAAUCCUGAGCACACCAAUACAACUAAUGGAUUUAAUCAUUAAU